GUUCCUUCUCGCCAGCGAGGCAGCGAGAAAACAACGGAUCAGAGUCCUUGUCCCUUUGCCCAUGCCUGGCGAAAAAACAGAUCGGAUGCGAAGCCACAAAUCUCGUCCCUCAUCGCCGUCGGGCACGACUCUCUCAGCGGUCGCCCCUGCUUCCUCCGGUUGGCGUGCGGGCCGACGGAGGUUGCCUCAAGGGCUUGUCGCGGGCAUGGAGGCGCUUUCCCUCGGGGGACUCCUCUGUGUCCUUUUCCAACGGCGGCCAUGGACGAGGGAAAGCGGCAAGAGUUUGUCCUUUUCCAACGGCGGCCAUGGACGAGGGCCAGCGACGAGAGUGAGGAUCGACCAUGGACGGGACUGCUGCAAGUCAGCCACCUCUCCCUGACACCUCCAUGCGCCGAUGUAAGUCUGUACUCCAUACUGCCGCGCCUCCAGCUCGCGGAGGGGAAGGAUCAGAGGUGACGGAGGAAGGGGAGGGGAACUCACCAUGGUAGUGCCCAUGGAGGAGGGGAGCGGACAGCAGGGGAGGGGAGGUGAGCUUGGUCGCACACAACGAAACAGCUGCUCCAGGCCACGGGCAUCGCUGUCUAGCACCAGCAGGGGAGGUAGGAUGGUGAGUUGUGGGGGACGACCAGCGCGGGGUAGAAGGUAGGCGGACUGGAUGGAGGAGGUAGGGCAUCUGAUUGCUAGAGCGCGCGUGUUUGGCUGCCAAUUGCUACCUGCAGGUACAGGAGUGCUAGCUGCUGCUUUAAAUUUACUGCUCUACGUGUGUUGUGCAGUAGAGUAAACUAUUGGUCUGAGAACAACGGCGGAUGAGAGUUCGACAGACUAAUCAGUUGAGCAUCUUAGAUUGAUCAAAUCGUUCGGUGGUUCAUUAUACUAGCAGGAAAGGUCAUGCCCAUGCACAUUUUCAGUUCUGAGUUGUGCUGACUGUUGAUUCGUAUUGCGUGGAGUCUGUCGCUAGAAGCUAACCCGAGAUGACGUGCAUAUUGCCA
This is a long non-coding RNA of Lolium perenne, 989 nucleotides long. RefSeq lists it as uncharacterized. NCBI's taxonomy places the organism in Eukaryota, Viridiplantae, Streptophyta, Magnoliopsida, Poales, Poaceae. The record is from RefSeq and is a predicted model, not a curated record.